RNAcentral lists this ribosomal RNA (400 nucleotides) under uncultured bacterium. Its description in RNAcentral is "bacterial SSU rRNA". It matches the Rfam family "Bacterial small subunit ribosomal RNA", at positions 355 to 746 of the family's 1533-position model. The record is from RNAcentral.
UCGAGAAUCUUUCGCAAUGGGCGAAAGCCUGACGAUGCGACGCCGCGUGAGCGAUGAAGGCCUUCGGGUUGUAAAGCUCUGUCACACGGGAAGAACGUCCUAUGGAUGAAUAAUUCAGAGGGCUGACUGUACUGUGAGAGGAAGCCACGGCUAACUCCGUGCCAGCAGCCGCGGUAAUACGGAGGUGGCAAACGUUGUUCGGAUUUAUUGGGUGUAAAGGGUAUGUAGGUGGGCUUGUAAGUCGGAUGUGAAAUCCUUUGGCUUAACCAAAGAACUGCAUUCGAAACUACUUGUCUUGAGUUUGGGAUAGGAGAGUGGAAUUCUCGGUGUAAGGGUGAAAUCUGUAGAUAUCGAGAGGAACACCAGUGGCGAAAGCGGCUCUCUGGACCAAAACUGACGC